This 254-nucleotide ribosomal RNA is filed under the name uncultured bacterium. RNAcentral's name for it is "partial 16S ribosomal RNA". It matches the Rfam family "Bacterial small subunit ribosomal RNA", at positions 524 to 776 of the family's 1533-position model. The record is from RNAcentral.
UACGUAGGGACCAAGCGUUGUUCGGAUUUACUGGGCGUAAAGGGCGCGUAGGCGGUCGUGACAAGUCACUUGUGAAAUCUCCGGGCUUAACUCGGAACGGUCAAGUGAUACUGUCGGACUAGAGUACAGAAGGGGCAACUGGAAUUCUCGGUGUAGCGGUGAAAUGCGUAGAUAUCGAGAGGAACACCUGCGGCGAAGGCGGGUCGCUGGGCUGAUACUGACGCUGAGGCGCGAAAGCCAGGGGAGCGAACGGG